AGGUUAGAGUUACUUGUUAUUGGUAAAUAGCCACUAUGGAGACUAAGGACCAGAAGAAACACAGAAAGAAAAACGGUGGACCCAAAGCUGCAAAGAAAAAGAAGUGGCAUCUGCAGGAUCUCCAGCUAGGAGACUAAGAAAAUGCCCAGAAGAGAAAUGCCAAUGCUUUUGCAGUUCAGUCUGCUGUGUGGAUGUCUCGAUCCUUUCACAGGACUCUGGAUUUGAAGACACAAAAGCAUCAUAUUCCAGUGGUUGAUGGAACUCCACUAGAGCCGCCACCAAUACCGGUAGUGGUGACGGGGCCUCCAAAGUUGGAAAGAGCACUUUGAUAUAAUGCCUCAUUCGGAACUUCACCUGGCAGAAGUUCACCGAGAUCAGAGGCCCUGUGACGAUCGUGUCAGGUAAAAAGCGCAGACUCACCAUUAUUGAAUGUGGGUGUGACAUUAACAUGAUGAUUGAUCUGGCUAAAGUAGCAGAUCUGGUACUGAUGCUUAUAGAUGCCAGCUUUGGGUUUGAAAUGGAAAUGUUUGAGUUUCUAAACAUCUGUCAAGCACAUGGCUUUCCUAAAAUUCUGGGAGUUCUCACCCACCUCGACUCCUUCAAGCAUAACAAGCAACUGAAGAAGACAAAGAAGCGAUUAAAACACAGGUUCUGGACAGAAGUUUACCAGGUUGCCAAACUGUUCUACCUUUCUGGAAUGGUGCAUGGAGAAUAUCAAAACCAAGAAAUCCACAAUCUGGGCCAUUUUAUUACAGUUAUGAAGUUUAGGCCUCUCAUGGCAAACUUUUCACCCUUAUAUCCUGGCAGACAGGAUGGAAGAUUUGACAAACCCGGAGGAUAUCCAAACAAACAUCAAAUGUGACCGGCAGGUGUCACUUUAUGGUUAUUUAAGAGGAGCACACUUCAAAGAUAAAAGCCAAAUUCACAUGCCAGGACAAGGUGGGGCUCACCCAUGAGCUGGUCCAGAGUCUCAUCUCCACCUACUCCACCAUUGAUGCCAAGAUGGCUUCAAGUCGAGUGACGCUGCUUUCCAAUUCCAAACCACUUGGGUCAGAGGCUAUAGAUAAUCAAGGAGAUGGCUUUGGAUUCCCUGUUCUGUGUGCUCCUGUCUGGCUCCUGAACCCAGCUGGAGAGGUGUGUCAAUCCCAACUGGUGAAGUACUGAGAGGAAGCUACACAAAAGGCAGCAAGGUGUUAAUAAGUGUACCUCUGACAUUUUAACCACCUCUGACUUUUCCAUGGAAUGGACAAGUAGUAGUCUCUGUCAGAGCAAUGUUUUAAAGGAAAAAAAGAAACUUGAGGUCGUAAACUGUUUAUUAAUUUAUGCUGUUAUUUUGUGUUUACUCAACUCAUUUAUAUUGACUUGUAAAUUAGUAAUUUAUGAACUACUAUUCAUCAAUUCAUUGCCUACAUGUCAGCAAACAAGUUUUCUUCUUAAUAAAGAAUCCGGUGGCUGGGCACAAUGGUUCACACCUGUAAUCUCAGCAUGUUGGGAGGGCAAGGCAGGAGGAUUCCUUGAGGCCAAGAGUUCAAGACCCGCCUGGGCAACAUAGCAAGAUUUCAUCUCUACAAAAAAAUGAAAAUAUUGGCUGGGCAUGGUGGCUCAUUCCUAUAGUUCAGGCUACUCAGGAGCCUGAGGUAGGAGGAUCACUUGAACCCAGGAGUUUGAGGCUGCAGUGAGCUAUGAUCCUAACACUGCUCUCCAGCCUGGGUGACACACCAAGAGACCACCUCUUCAAAAAAGGAAUCUAGGGGCAUCAGUGUGUGCACACAGCAUGGCUUGUGAAUGCGGAAGUGCCUGUGUGCAUAGUUGUGCUCAAGAAUGUGUUGAUGAUUAUAUCUUCUCAGCAUGAAAAAAA
Molecule: long non-coding RNA, 1858 nt
Filed under: Homo sapiens (human)
Lineage: Eukaryota; Metazoa; Chordata; Mammalia; Primates; Hominidae
Description: novel transcript
Source: RNAcentral